This 2905-nucleotide ribosomal RNA is filed under the name Escherichia coli. RNAcentral's name for it is "23S ribosomal RNA". It matches the Rfam family "Bacterial large subunit ribosomal RNA". Lineage: Bacteria; Pseudomonadati; Pseudomonadota; Gammaproteobacteria; Enterobacterales; Enterobacteriaceae. The record is from RNAcentral.
GGUUAAGCGACUAAGCGUACACGGUGGAUGCCCUGGCAGUCAGAGGCGAUGAAGGACGUGCUAAUCUGCGAUAAGCGUCGGUAAGGUGAUAUGAACCGUUAUAACCGGCGAUUUCCGAAUGGGGAAACCCAGUGUGAUUCGUCACACUAUCAUUAACUGAAUCCAUAGGUUAAUGAGGCGAACCGGGGGAACUGAAACAUCUAAGUACCCCGAGGAAAAGAAAUCAACCGAGAUUCCCCCAGUAGCGGCGAGCGAACGGGGAGCAGCCCAGAGCCUGAAUCAGUGUGUGUGUUAGUGGAAGCGUCUGGAAAGGCGUGCGAUACAGGGUGACAGCCCCGUACACAAAAAUGCACAUGCUGUGAGCUCGAUGAGUAGGGCGGGACACGUGGUAUCCUGUCUGAAUAUGGGGGGACCAUCCUCCAAGGCUAAAUACUCCUGACUGACCGAUAGUGAACCAGUACCGUGAGGGAAAGGCGAAAAGAACCCCGGCGAGGGGAGUGAAAAAGAACCUGAAACCGUGUACGUACAAGCAGUGGGAGCACAGAGCAAUCUGUGUGACUGCGUACCUUUUGUAUAAUGGGUCAGCGACUUAUAUUCUGUAGCAAGGUUAACCGAAUAGGGGAGCCGAAGGGAAACCGAGUCUUAACUGGGCGUUAAGUUGCAGGGUAUAGACCCGAAACCCGGUGAUCUAGCCAUGGGCAGGUUGAAGGUUGGGUAACACUAACUGGAGGACCGAACCGACUAAUGUUGAAAAAUUAGCGGAUGACUUGUGGCUGGGGGUGAAAGGCCAAUCAAACCGGGAGAUAGCUGGUUCUCCCCGAAAGCUAUUUAGGUAGCGCCUCGUGAAUUCAUCUCCGGGGGUAGAGCACUGUUUCGGCAAGGGGGUCAUCCCGACUUACCAACCCGAUGCAAACUGCGAAUACCGGAGAAUGUUAUCACGGGAGACACACGGCGGGUGCUAACGUCCGUCGUGAAGAGGGAAACAACCCAGACCGCCAGCUAAGGUCCCAAAGUCAUGGUUAAGUGGGAAACGAUGUGGGAAGGCCCAGACAGCCAGGAUGUUGGCUUAGAAGCAGCCAUCAUUUAAAGAAAGCGUAAUAGCUCACUGGUCGAGUCGGCCUGCGCGGAAGAUGUAACGGGGCUAAACCAUGCACCGAAGCUGCGGCAGCGACACUAUGUGUUGUUGGGUAGGGGAGCGUUCUGUAAGCCUGCGAAGGUGUGCUGUGAGGCAUGCUGGAGGUAUCAGAAGUGCGAAUGCUGACAUAAGUAACGAUAAAGCGGGUGAAAAGCCCGCUCGCCGGAAGACCAAGGGUUCCUGUCCAACGUUAAUCGGGGCAGGGUGAGUCGACCCCUAAGGCGAGGCCGAAAGGCGUAGUCGAUGGGAAACAGGUUAAUAUUCCUGUACUUGGUGUUACUGCGAAGGGGGGACGGAGAAGGCUAUGUUGGCCGGGCGACGGUUGUCCCGGUUUAAGCGUGUAGGCUGGUUUUCCAGGCAAAUCCGGAAAAUCAAGGCUGAGGCGUGAUGACGAGGCACUACGGUGCUGAAGCAACAAAUGCCCUGCUUCCAGGAAAAGCCUCUAAGCAUCAGGUAACAUCAAAUCGUACCCCAAACCGACACAGGUGGUCAGGUAGAGAAUACCAAGGCGCUUGAGAGAACUCGGGUGAAGGAACUAGGCAAAAUGGUGCCGUAACUUCGGGAGAAGGCACGCUGAUAUGUAGGUGAAGUCCCUCGCGGAUGGAGCUGAAAUCAGUCGAAGAUACCAGCUGGCUGCAACUGUUUAUUAAAAACACAGCACUGUGCAAACACGAAAGUGGACGUAUACGGUGUGACGCCUGCCCGGUGCCGGAAGGUUAAUUGAUGGGGUCAGCGCAAGCGAAGCUCUUGAUCGAAGCCCCGGUAAACGGCGGCCGUAACUAUAACGGUCCUAAGGUAGCGAAAUUCCUUGUCGGGUAAGUUCCGACCUGCACGAAUGGCGUAAUGAUGGCCAGGCUGUCUCCACCCGAGACUCAGUGAAAUUGAACUCGCUGUGAAGAUGCAGUGUACCCGCGGCAAGACGGAAAGACCCCGUGAACCUUUACUAUAGCUUGACACUGAACAUUGAGCCUUGAUGUGUAGGAUAGGUGGGAGGCUUUGAAGUGUGGACGCCAGUCUGCAUGGAGCCGACCUUGAAAUACCACCCUUUAAUGUUUGAUGUUCUAACGUUGACCCGUAAUCCGGGUUGCGGACAGUGUCUGGUGGGUAGUUUGACUGGGGCGGUCUCCUCCUAAAGAGUAACGGAGGAGCACGAAGGUUGGCUAAUCCUGGUCGGACAUCAGGAGGUUAGUGCAAUGGCAUAAGCCAGCUUGACUGCGAGCGUGACGGCGCGAGCAGGUGCGAAAGCAGGUCAUAGUGAUCCGGUGGUUCUGAAUGGAAGGGCCAUCGCUCAACGGAUAAAAGGUACUCCGGGGAUAACAGGCUGAUACCGCCCAAGAGUUCAUAUCGACGGCGGUGUUUGGCACCUCGAUGUCGGCUCAUCACAUCCUGGGGCUGAAGUAGGUCCCAAGGGUAUGGCUGUUCGCCAUUUAAAGUGGUACGCGAGCUGGGUUUAGAACGUCGUGAGACAGUUCGGUCCCUAUCUGCCGUGGGCGCUGGAGAACUGAGGGGGGCUGCUCCUAGUACGAGAGGACCGGAGUGGACGCAUCACUGGUGUUCGGGUUGUCAUGCCAAUGGCACUGCCCGGUAGCUAAAUGCGGAAGAGAUAAGUGCUGAAAGCAUCUAAGCACGAAACUUGCCCCGAGAUGAGUUCUCCCUGACUCCUUGAGAGUCCUGAAGGAACGUUGAAGACGACGACGUUGAUAGGCCGGGUGUGUAAGCGCAGCGAUGCGUUGAGCUAACCGGUACUAAUGAACCGUGAGGCUUAACCUU